This is an RNA transcript of Cryptomeria japonica (Japanese cedar), 3360 nucleotides long. It is a transcript of the gene named alpha-glucosidase-like, with no coding region annotated. The transcript is spliced from 3 exons. NCBI's taxonomy places the organism in Eukaryota, Viridiplantae, Streptophyta, Pinopsida, Cupressales, Cupressaceae. The record is from RefSeq and is a predicted model, not a curated record.
CCUUGCUCAUGACUGCUAAUGGUUGUCUUCUCCAAAUCUUGACAGUGACAGAUCGAAGACUGCUCAGUUAUGAUUGAUCUUUUCUUGUAGCCUUCUCAAGACAGUCAUAUCUUCAGUGCCUUCAUAGGACUGUUAUCCUUUCCAUUCUUUUCCUUUAACUGCACUUUCUUCUUAUAUGACCUCUGUGAUUGCACUUUUUCUCUUCUGCUGCAACUUAUUACCUUCUGUCCUUUUGCUCCUCAAGACAAUCAUAUGGUCCUUUAUCACUAGGAUUAUCCUAUAUCUCUGCAUCCUCAUGUCUUUUGGACUGUCAUAAUAUAUGUUUAGGGACUGUCUUGUUGUUCUAUAAUUAUCACAAAAACCCUUUUCUUUGAUUUUUCUCAUGCUCUCCAAAUGACCAUAAACAAGGCAUUUUCCACUUUGAACAUUGUCAUUUCUUGUAUCCUAUCAUAGAUGGUGCUCUGAUCACACUCGCAACAGUAUCAUUGAUUUUGACAUCUUCAAACACUUUUGAUUUGCAACCUAUCUAACCUUUGCAUGUUACAAUCGAAAAGCUCAAGGACUGCUGCUCAAAUUGUCUGUAUUUGUUAUCAUAUCCUCUUCCUUUUGGUUUACAAACCCUUGUUCUCUGUCUUUGUGGCAGUAUCAUCCUUGUUCACCGUAUAUUUUUUGAUGAAUGGGCCGACAUUUAGUGAGAUAUCAAUGCAUUAAUGGAUUUUGACUGAGGGUUUCCUUGCACUGUCAUAGCCCUUUGUGCUUUUGAACAGUGGCUAAAUCAACAUGUUCUUGUUGAUGGUGAAGAUUGACAUUUUGUCAACAUGUUAUGUCUGUAUAUUAGUCUUUCUGAUCACUGCUCGGAAUAGUUGCUCAUGAUCUGUAUAUUAGCCUUUUUACAUGUCUGCAACCAAAAUUUCAUGUGCUUGAAUAUUCUUGACGUCUUCAUGCCUUUAAGUCGGUCAUUCCUUUUAUGGUGCCUGGCUUCUCAUUACAGAGCAAAGGCUCUUUGUUGCAGCAUUCAAAGAAAUCUGAUAGUGGAAAAAGUCUUCAUGACAAGGUAGUACAUGACAAAGGCAAAUUUAGACCCAUGACUUCACAUGCAACAUGGGGAAACUUUAUUAUUUUAAAUUUUAAUUCCCUCCAACACCGUGCAUGAGUAUUUUGACUUAACCAAUAUGUGGAGUAUGUUUUUGACCUUUUUGGAGCUUUUAAUGAAAAACAAGGACAUUAUUCAUUUUUUACUCAUUUGGCAAAACAAAUCAAAGGAACUAGAAGUGGCUUUUCCUCUUUUAGCAUUAUUACUCUUUUAAAACCUCUAUAUGAGACCUAAGACCCAAUGGCAGGCUAUUUUUGACCUGAAAGCGGAAAAAUAGGUAAUAGGUCCUUAACCAUCUUUAUGAGGCACCAUACCUAGUGAGGAAUCUUUCACCGGUCCUCCUCCUUGCACUUCGUCUACUUCCCCAAUAGUAUCGAAUAUUGCAGGUAUAAUAUGUUAUUAAGUGUAUAGAUUUAAUUGUAUAUAUUCACUCUCAAUUAAUCUUUUAAACACAUAGAGAUAUUGAUAAAUGAAUUCUGCAUAGUCAGGUAUAAACAUAUAUGCGUUUGCACCUCUAUGAAUAAUCUAUCUUUGCCUUUAUACCACAAUGGUAUAGAUGCUAUUGCACAAUCAUGAACAUCAUAUUACUAAACAUUAAUCAUUGGUUAGCAGAAGUGAAUAAUAUUUAUUAUGCCAAGUAUAGGGAGUGUGAUCAAAUUGUUUGUGCAUUCAACUUAUUAUCCAUCUGAUCUCCUCUGCAUUUUGUCAUCUUCUGAUGAUCAAUGGUUCUUCCUUUGAUGUGGAUGAAGCCCUAUGAUAUCUUUUCACUGGUUUGUGGAGUGGUGCCUUUCCUUUAGGGACGUGUCCCAUGGGAGAGAUCUUAUCCUAUCUAUUGCUCAUCUCACCCUUUCAGCAUUUAAUCAUCUUCUCUAGCUCAUGUUUGUUAAUCCUUUAAUCCUUGCAUUGGUUAAUGCUGGGUUAUCUAUUGAUUAGCAUUUGAUCAUUCAGAUUGCUGUUCACAAACAAGAGAGAAGGUGAUCCUUAAGGCAGCUUCCUUGCUAUGGUUAUGAUUGUUCAUGGUGGUGAUUGGGGUCUGCUGUAGUCAGUCCAGCAAUUAGGAAAUUGUUAAGUCUCAUCACCGUGAGAUUAGACAAUUUCCUAUCAGAUCUUGCUAAAUCGGGUUGGGGCCAUGACACUUUGUAUUAUAGAUCUGUGGAGAAAAGACUUCAGAUUUGGACAGCCAUUUUUCUCUUAAUCUUUCAGUUUUCACGUGUUUCAAUUUUCUUAGGAUGAAUGUUUGGGUUUGUCUUCACUGAUGUUUAUUUUAGUGUUCUUGCUGCAAAAUGUUUGGAAGAUAAAUUUAGGCUUGUUUUCUUUUUUCUUUUUAAUCCUUUUGACUUGAGUAAAGGACUUGAUCAAGUGAGAAUCUAAUGCAGGCAUGAGACAUAGGACCCAGCAAGAAUUCAUAUAACCGAUGCAGAGAAGAAGAGAUGAGAUGUUCCUUAUGACCUGCUUCCUAGAUCACAAGUAGCUGCUCUAGAAGCAAGGCAUAUUUCCAAAACAGCUAACGGACUGUUUGAAUUCUGUGUUCUCAGGCAAUGAGUUGAUCUUCUCCUGCACAGCUAAUCUAUUUUGAUUUUGCCAUGGAGAGUAAGCUGACAUACAAGGUUAUUGGGGGUUUACUGGACUUCUACUUCUUUGCAGGUUCGUCUCCUUUAGAUGCAGUUCAACAGUUCAUUGACUCCGUAGGCCACAGCUGCAAUGUCCUAUUGAGCUUCUGAUUUGUCUCCAUUAAAUGCUGUUCAACAGUUCACUGACCUCGUAGGACACACAGCUGCAACGCCCUAUUGGGCUUCUGGUAUGUCAGUAAUGCGCUGCUCUAUAGUUUGUUACUGUAGCAUGGUAUUGUUUAUUGUCUUCCAAACAUUUUACAGCACAUGCAAAUCAUCUACAAUAGUAAGCUAAGUAUGAGCUAAUUGAGCUUUGUUGGUUAUGUAUUUUACUGACUAUUGGAAUUUAGUAAUUUUGGUUCACGGUUUAAUAUUUUUUUUGGAUUCCUUGUUUUGGUUCGCUGUAUUUGUUUUAUUUAAUAUUUCAAAUGAGAUACAAGGAUACCAAUUUCCUUGGCUUCGGAAUAGAGAAUGAAAUCCAUAUUUUUUUGUUUUGAGAUUUUGAAAAUUUUAUUUGGUGGGUGCUAUUGUUUUACUCAGGAAAAAAACAGCCAGGAUUAUUGAAGUUGAAGUUGAAGUGCUUGGUGUGGUUGACAUGAAUGAUUAAAAACAGGAUCCCGUAUGUGCUUAAUAUAACGUUUUAGAUUGUUUUCAUCA